GGGCUGCUCCUAGUACGAGAGGACCGGAGUGGACGCAUCACUGGUGUUCGGGUUGUCAUGCCAAUGGCACUGCCCGGUAGCUAAAUGCGGAAGAGAUAAGUGCUGAAAGCAUCUAAGCACGAAACUUGCCCCGAGAUGAGUUCUCCCUGAGACUUUAAGUCUCCUGAAGGAACGUUGAAGACGACGACGUUGAUAGGUCGGGUGUGUAAGCGCAGCGAUGCGUUGAGCUAACCGAUACUAAUGAACCGUGAGGCUUAACCUU
This 262-nucleotide ribosomal RNA is filed under the name Enterobacter hormaechei. RNAcentral describes it as "partial 23S ribosomal RNA". It matches the Rfam family "Bacterial large subunit ribosomal RNA", at positions 2669 to 2925 of the family's 2925-position model. The record is from RNAcentral. Lineage: Bacteria; Pseudomonadati; Pseudomonadota; Gammaproteobacteria; Enterobacterales; Enterobacteriaceae.